CACACUGAUGGGGGUUAUUGG
This 21-nucleotide microRNA is filed under the name Branchiostoma floridae (Florida lancelet). Its description in RNAcentral is "Bfl-Mir-135-P5_3p* (star (passenger))". Lineage: Eukaryota; Metazoa; Chordata; Leptocardii; Amphioxiformes; Branchiostomatidae. The record is from RNAcentral.